Cydia splendana is the source of this 905-nucleotide long non-coding RNA. RefSeq lists it as uncharacterized. The transcript is spliced from 4 exons. The record is from RefSeq and is a predicted model, not a curated record. Lineage: Eukaryota; Metazoa; Arthropoda; Insecta; Lepidoptera; Tortricidae.
CUACAUCUAUGGACAUGAAUAAAAGAAUGUAACUAAUUACAGUGUAUUUGAUUUUUUAUCACAAUCUACGAGUAUGUAGUCGUAACGAAUGAUAUUUCAGAACAGACGUAUCGUCCCUAAAAUGAUCGACCAACUGUCAAUAAUUUUAUUUCUUAGUUUAGCCGGUUUUACUUUUGGAGUGAAUUUCCUCUACAACUGUCGUGAAUUACAUGAGCAACCUCCUACCACAGAUAAUAUGCAACUAGAUAUAAAGAAAGUCUCGUUUUGGGCCAAAUACUUUGGUUUUACUUGCGAUUUUGACACAUAAAGAAAUGCGCAUAAGUUACACACAUGGAACGGGACACCAUCCCAUCAACUAGCUUAAUGAAUCUGUGAUUAAAAUAUUCUUGGUAAAGGUAUCUUUAAUUUACCCACCUAUAUACAUUUUAGCCAUAUUGGUCAUAUAUUACUAUUUUAAAGAUGUAAACGUUGAAUUGUGCAGAACCAAUUGGGCAAGGAACCUUUUUUAGGGUAAGGGCUAUUGCAGGUCGACACUUGGAAAGGAUUGGGUUUGGAUGACGUUAUGCAACAGUCUGUCGCAAGUAAUUUUAAUUUACAAGUCACUUGCACAAAAAUAUAAAUCAUAAAAAAAAUAUUAAUGUUGUUACAUUCAUAUUUCGUUUAAUUUAAGAUCUGUCAAGAUGUUUAAAAACAGCAAUAUCCAUAAACACAAUUUUCCUGAAAAAUACACAUUUAUUACAAACAACAAAAAUGUAAACUAGUGUAAUUAAUUGGCUUUGAUUGAAGGAAAUAUAAGAUUUACAUGAUAUGUUUUAGUCAUUAAAAUUCCGAUUCUCACCGGCUUGCCUAAUUCUUUGAAAGCUAGGCACAUUUUCUACAAUUCGUCAAAAAUUUAGUUUUCGAAA